UAGAAUCAAAAAUCAAAUUCUCCUAAAGGUCUUAGGAAAAGUACAUCAAAAUGCUGGCAGGUACUUGGAAAAAUGGUGGUAAACAGUUGUCAUGGCAUUUCUUAGAUAGUUAGACUCUAUAAAUUUUGUGUGUGCAUGUAUGUGUAUUUGUGUGCAUGUCUCAACACAUAUAAUAAAUUUUUGUGUGGUGUACUGGUGGCAUUAUAGACAUGCUUCUUCAAGGGCUGGAAAUAGCUGCAUAGGUUGAGAACUGACAAUUGUGAGUUACUUCCCUUGAUUAAUUAUAUCUACCAAAUGGCAUUCAAAGGUAUCAGGGA
This 317-nucleotide long non-coding RNA is filed under the name Elaeis guineensis (African oil palm). RNAcentral describes it as "long non-coding RNA (EGUI_LNC014145)". The record is from RNAcentral. Lineage: Eukaryota; Viridiplantae; Streptophyta; Magnoliopsida; Arecales; Arecaceae.